Molecule: ribosomal RNA, 890 nt
Filed under: Asterionellopsis glacialis
Lineage: Eukaryota; Bacillariophyta; Plagiogrammaphyceae; Rhaphoneidales; Asterionellopsidaceae
Description: partial Eukaryotic large subunit ribosomal RNA
Rfam family: Eukaryotic large subunit ribosomal RNA
Source: RNAcentral
ACAGCAGGACGGUGGUCAUGGAAGUCGAAAUCCGCUAAGGAGUGUGUAACAACUCACCUGCCGAAUGAACUAGCGCUGAAAAUGGAUGGCGCUCAAGCGGACCACCGAUACUCGACCAACGCGCUGAGUGCUUUGGCGCGUUGCGUAGGAGGGCGUGGGGCUCGUGACGCAGCCGCGGGAGUGAUCCCCGGUGAAACGGGCUCUAGUGCAGAUCUUGGUGGUAGUAGCAAAUAUUCAAAUGAGAACUUUGAAGACUGAAGUGGACAAGGGUUCCAUGUGAACAGCAGUUGGACAUGGGUGAGCCGAUCCUAAGGGGUAGGGCAAUUCCUCGAACAGUCGCUUUUUGCGGCUGCCUACCGAAAGGGAAACGGGUUAAUAUUCCCGAACCAGGACGUGGAUAUUGAGUGGCAACACAAGCAAAACCGGGGAAGGCGGCGAGGGCUCCGAGGAGAGUUAUCUUUUCUUGUUAACAGCAGUUGCGACCCUGGAAUCGGAUUGGCCGGAGAUAGGGUUGCAGCUCUGGGAAAGGCGGUUAAUUUGUGACCGCUUCGGUGCGCUUUCGACGUCCCUUGAAAACCCGGUGGCGUGACUUAUUCGCACCCCUGGUCGUACUCAUAACCGCAUCAGGUCUCCAAGGUUAGCAGCCUCUAGUCGAUAGAACAAUGUAGAUAAGGGAAGUCGGCAAAAUAGAUCUGUAACUUAGGGAAAAAGAUUGGGUCUGAGGGUUGGGCCUAGGGGUCUCUGGGACAAUGUUGCGACUGCUAGGAGGGACUGCGGCUCACGCUGCGGACCCACCGGGCGGUUCUUCGGCGGCCCAGAGGAUGCUUGCCUCGUGCAUGCUUUCCCUAGCGCGAUGAACAACCGGCUCAGAACUGGAGCGGACAAGGGAA